UUACGGCCAUAUCAUGUUGAAACAUUACUUCUCGUACGAUCACCGAAGUUAAGCAACGUCGAGCCUGGUCAAUACUUAGAUGGACGGUCACUUGGGAAUACCAAGUGCUGUAAG
Non-coding RNA from Acanthosepion pharaonis, 114 nucleotides. The record is from the annotation of a GenBank genome assembly. Lineage: Eukaryota; Metazoa; Mollusca; Cephalopoda; Sepiida; Sepiidae.